GACGAACCGUGCGAACGUUAUUCGGAAUCACUGGGCUUAAAGCGCGUGCAGGCGGCCCGGCACGUCGGCUGCUGAAAGCCCCCGGCUCAACCGGGGAACGGGCACCGAAACGACCGGGCUGGAGGGGGGUAGGGGGAUCGGGAACUCACGGUGGAGCGGUGAAAUGCGUUGAGAUCGUGAGGAACGCCCGCGGCGAAAGCGCGGUCCUGGGCCCCACCUGACGCUGAGACGCGAAAGCCAGGGGAGCGAACGGG
This 254-nucleotide ribosomal RNA is filed under the name uncultured Singulisphaera sp. RNAcentral describes it as "partial 16S ribosomal RNA". It matches the Rfam family "Bacterial small subunit ribosomal RNA", at positions 524 to 776 of the family's 1533-position model. The record is from RNAcentral. Lineage: Bacteria; Pseudomonadati; Planctomycetota; Planctomycetia; Isosphaerales; Isosphaeraceae.